This 1520-nucleotide long non-coding RNA is filed under the name Monodelphis domestica (gray short-tailed opossum). RNAcentral's name for it is "lncRNA (ENSMODG00000038924.1)". The record is from RNAcentral. Lineage: Eukaryota; Metazoa; Chordata; Mammalia; Didelphimorphia; Didelphidae.
GUAUUUUUCUCAAAUUUUUAGAGGACCAAUCAUCACUAAUGUGUAUCAGAUUGUGGUGUGGAACACGAGCCCACUGACUCAAAAACAAACAAACAAACAAAACAAGACUGAGAUUACAAAGCAGCAAGCCAGUUUUAUUUCUCUUCUGCAAGAGGGAUCCACAACAGAGAUAUACUCAGCUGGAUUGCACUUGCUGAACUUAAAGCAGUCUGUUCAGGUCAGAAGUAUUCCAGAAGCAAGGAGUCAUGGAGAGCUAGAAGGAAAUAGCUUCAGGACACUAGUGAACCAUGGGGCCUCAUUCAUCUUCCCAAAGCAUGCAUGCCUGCUCAAUCAAAAGGUGGGGCUCUUUCAAAAUUUUCUUUUUUUAAAGGAAAAAAGGGUACAAUUUAUGUUAAUUUCACAAAUAUUUUCCAGUGAGAGGUUUCAAAUUUUCUGCCAUUUGUUCAUUCUUUUGAAAAUGUACUACAGUUUCCUGCUGUCUCAUGAAGUCAGUUUUCAUUUGUCAAAUUUUAGGUUUUAGGAAGCCAUUUUCUUCUUUGAGAUGUUUUACCUCCUUUCUUUGGGAGUUAUUUUCCUAUUUAAGGUAUUAUAUUUCCUUUUUCAGAUACCAGUGUUCUUCACUAUUUUUUUCCUUUAAUUUUCUUUUCUAAUUUUCCUUCUAAGUUUCUUUUUUUUCUUAUCCUUUUUAGAGCUCAUCCAAGGAUUCAUUUUGGGCUUGAAAUUCUUUUACAUUUUCCUUUGCUGAUUUACACAUUUAUGAUUUGUUUUACUGUUAUCUUCUGUGCUUGUAUUUUGCUCAUACCUUGGGUUGAGAUAUUUUUCUAGGGUUACUCUCUCUCUGUCUCUCUCUGUCUCUCUCUGUCUCUCUCUCUCUCUCAUUCUGUCAUGUUUUUCCUUGAUUUUUAAAUAUAUUGAAACUUAGCUCUUAACAGACAGACAGACAAAUCCCUUGACUGAACAAUGGCUAAGAUCUGUUUAGCUAUCUUGAUCUAAGAUUGAACACUGUAGAUGUGGCCUGGUUAGUCUGAUGCUUGGAGGAUAGCAGCAAUUCUGUUGGAAAUGGGUGGAAUUGGGUUCUACCUAAUCCCAACAAAGCUGGAUCUUGUUGGGAUGAGUCCCUUUCACAGCGUCCAGUAUCUGUUCUUCUUGGGUUAUGCAGGGCCACCUUUCUCCCACUGCUUCUUAUUCUUCAUUUCAUUGGUUUCUGUUCCUAUCUUGCUUAGAUUGGAUGGAGCUGCUGUUCUCUUUCAUCAUCCUGCAUGGGCCAAUUGGUUCUAAUUUCCACUGAGGUUUAUUCAGUGCUCCCUCCUCAUACUGUAGUGCAAUGAGUCCAGUUUGCUAUCUCUCAACUUUGUUCUGGGCUAGAGCCCUGCUUUACCCCUUCUUCUGUUGGUUCUGCUGCACCAUAUUUGUUUUGAGACAUCUUCAUUCUUUUAUGGUCAUCUGGUGGAUGACUGGUGAGUACUGAGUAUUUUUUACCUCUCCAUAUGCCUCUUGCCACUGUGACUGAUGCAACUUCU